CAGGAUGAACGCUAGCUACAGGCUAACACAUGCAAGUCGAGGGGUAGCAGGGUAGCAAUACCGCUGACGACCGGCGCACGGGUGAGUAACACGUAUCCAACCUUCCCAUAACUCAGGGAUAGCCUUUCGAAAGAAAGAUUAAUACCUGAUAGUACUUUUUCAAGGCAUCUUGAGAAAGUUAAAGAUUUAUUGGUUAUGGAUGGGGAUGCGUUCCAUUAGAUAGUUGGUGAGGUAACGGCUCACCAAGUCUUCGAUGGAUAGGGGUUCUGAGAGGAAGGUCCCCCACAUUGGUACUGAGACACGGACCAAACUCCUACGGGAGGCAGCAGUGAGGAAUAUUGGUCAAUGGGCGAGAGCCUGAACCAGCCAAGUAGCGUGAAGGAUGAAGGUCCUAUGGAUUGUAAACUUCUUUUAUAGUAGAAUAAAGUGAUCCACGUGUGGAUUUUUGUAUGUAUACUAUGAAUAAGGAUCGGCUAACUCCGUGCCAGCAGCGGC
RNAcentral lists this ribosomal RNA (495 nucleotides) under uncultured bacterium. RNAcentral's name for it is "bacterial SSU rRNA". It matches the Rfam family "Bacterial small subunit ribosomal RNA", at positions 25 to 518 of the family's 1533-position model. The record is from RNAcentral.